This 497-nucleotide ribosomal RNA is filed under the name uncultured bacterium. RNAcentral's name for it is "partial 16S ribosomal RNA". It matches the Rfam family "Bacterial small subunit ribosomal RNA", at positions 28 to 507 of the family's 1533-position model. The record is from RNAcentral.
GAUGAACGCUGGCGGCGUGCCUAAUACAUGCAAGUCGAGCGAACGGACGAGAAGCUUGCUUCUCUGAUGUUAGCGGCGGACGGGUGAGUAACACGUGGAUAACCUACCUAUAAGACUGGGAGAACUUCGGGAAACCGGAGCUAAUAACGGAUAAUAUUUUGAACCGCAGGGUUCAGAAGUGAAAGACGGUCUUGCCGUCACUUAUAGAUGAAUCCGCGCUGCAUUAGCUAGUUGGUAAGGGAACGGCUUACCAAGGCAACGAUGCAUAGCCGACCUGAGAGGGUGAACCGCCACACUGGAACUGAGACACGGUCCAGACUCCUACGGGAGGCAGCAGUAGGGAAAUUUCCGCCAUGGGCGAAAGCCUGACGGAGCAACGCCGCGUUAGUGAUGAAGGUCUUCGGAUCUUAAAACUCUGUUAUUUGGGAAGAAAAUAUGUGUAAGUAACUGUGCACAUCUUGACGGUACCUAAUCAGAAAGCCACGGCUAACUACGUG